UACGGGGGGGGCAAGCGUUGUUCGGAAUUACUGGGCGUAAAGGGCGCGUAGGCGGCCCGCUAAGUCGAACGUGAAAUCCCCGAGCUCAACUCGGGAACUGCGUCCGAUACUGGCGGGCUUGAAUCCGGGAGAGGGAUGCGGAAUUCCAGGUGUAGCGGUGAAAUGCGUAGAUAUCUGGAGGAACACCGGUGGCGAAGGCGGCAUCCUGGACCGGCAUUGACGCUGAGGCGCGAAAGCGUGGGGAGCAAACAGG
This 253-nucleotide ribosomal RNA is filed under the name uncultured bacterium. RNAcentral's name for it is "partial 16S ribosomal RNA". It matches the Rfam family "Bacterial small subunit ribosomal RNA", at positions 524 to 776 of the family's 1533-position model. The record is from RNAcentral.